CAUGGCUCAGAUUGAACGCUGGCGGCAUGCUUUACACAUGCAAGUCGAACGGCAGCACGGGAGCUUGCUCCUGGUGGCGAGUGGCGAACGGGUGAGUAAUGCAUCGGAACGUACCCAGUCGUGGGGGAUAACGUAGCGAAAGUUACGCUAAUACCGCAUACGACCUGAGGGUGAAAGCGGGGGACCGGUAACGGCCUCGCGCGAUUGGAGCGGCCGAUGUCUGAUUAGCUAGUUGGUGAGGUAAAGGCUCACCAAGGCGACGAUCAGUAGCGGGUCUGAGAGGAUGAUCCGCCACACUGGGACUGAGACACGGCCCAGACUCCUACGGGAGGCAGCAGUGGGGAAUUUUGGACAAUGGGGGCAACCCUGAUCCAGCCAUGCCGCGUGCGGGAAGAAGGCCUUCGGGUUGUAAACCGCUUUCGGACAGAAAGAAAUCGCCUUUUCUAAUAAAGAAGUGGAUG
This 461-nucleotide ribosomal RNA is filed under the name uncultured bacterium. RNAcentral's name for it is "bacterial SSU rRNA". It matches the Rfam family "Bacterial small subunit ribosomal RNA", at positions 18 to 474 of the family's 1533-position model. The record is from RNAcentral.